ACCGCCACCAUCACCAUCUUCAUCAGCAUCGCACCAUCUGGUGGUGCUGGUGGUGCUGUUGUGCUCGCACAGGAUCGUCGGAAACAUCGCCAAGAUAUCUUCGUUCGAGGAAGACUACCGGGCUGACAGGCCCAUGGUGCAGCGCGCCUCUUCCUCGGAUGCACCCUCCGUUCAGGGUGGCCAACAUCGAGAGUCUCGGUUUGGCCUUGGAUACCCUUCCUACCAGAAUGGAUACAACAAACUAUUCACACAGGGUUCUGCCGACUCGAACUACUCACAACCGUCAUCCGAUCUGUCGCUAGACGAGGAAAAGGAAUCGCUUCGGCGAGAAAAGGAACGUCAGGCCUUAAGCCAGUUGGAUAAAGCGAGGAGCAAACCAGUGGCGUUCGCUGUGCGAACCAACGUAGCAUACGAUGGCGCCAUCGACGACGAUUCGCCGGUGCAGGGCGGAGCAGUUUCGUUCGAGAUCCGGGAGUUCCUGCACAUCAAAGAGAAGUACGACAAUAACUGGUGGAUCGGCCGGCUGGUCAAGGAGGGCUGUGAUGUGGGCUUCAUACCCAGCCCCGCUAAGCUAGACAACAUUCGCAUGCAGAACCAAACCAGACCCUCAAGACUGUAUGGCACAAAGGGCUCGUCGAGCGGGAAUCUUGGUGCGGGCGGACAAGCAGGUGCGGAGCCAUCUCGAGGUAGCACACCCCCCACACCUGAUUCCAUGGGACCAGGACGACACGGCAAGACACCGGCGGCGGCGGCCAACAAGGAGAAGCGGAAGCCGUUCUUCAAGAAACAGGAGACGGCCAGUCCCUACGAUGUGGUGCCUUCGAUGCGUCCCGUCGUCCUAGUGGGGCCCAGUUUGAAGGGCUACGAGGUGACCGACAUGAUGCAGAAGGCCCUCUUCGACUUCCUCAAGCACCGCUUCGAGGGCCGCAUCAUCAUCACCCGGGUGAUGGCCGACAUCUCGCUGGCCAAGCGCUCCAUCAUGAACAAUCCCUCGAAGCGGGCCAUCAUGGAGCGAUCCUCCAGCCGGAGCGACUGCCUCGGCAAGGUGCAGGAGGAGAUCGAGCGCAUCUUCGAGCUGGCCCGCUCGCUCCAGCUGGUCGUGCUCGAUUGUGAUACAAUCAAUCAUCCGUCACAACUAGCGAAAACUUCAUUAGCGCCAACAAUAGUGUACUUAAAGAUUAGUAGUAGUAAGGUUUUACAGCGUUUGAUCAAAUCACGUGGCAAGUCGCAGGCGAAAAACCUCUCCGUUCAAAUGGUUGCCGCCGAGAAGCUAGCCCAAUGUCCACCGGAUAUGUUCGAUGUAAUCCUAGACGAGAAUCAGCUGGAAGACGCCUGCGAGCACAUUGCCGAGUACUUAGAGACGUACUGGAAGGCCACCCACCCGGACAUUCGAGCCGUGCCGCCCAUCGCCCGCCCCCUGCCGCAGGAGGCCUCGCCCUCCGCAGAUCCCGCGCGUCUGGGACCGACGCCUCCAGUUACACCGGGCGUUGUGCGCCUGUAAGCCGCCGCAAUCCGCGCCAAGCCCUUCUACUCGAAUUCUCACAUUCUUCCGGGUGUUUUCCUAGAUCAGCUCAACUCAACCCAAAUCAGCUCAGUUAUAAUAUUUAUAUAUGUGUACAUGUAUUCCGUUGUUGUCGAACCUUAUGUUUUCACCAUUUCAAGUUGCAAAACCAAAUCAUCCAAUCGUUUAGAUCUGGUUUAGAGGAACCUCUUACCAGCACAGCCGCCGACAACCGACCUCGGUUCGCCACCAGGAGCGCGGCGGAGGAGUGGGCGCAGGCGGC
This 1784-nucleotide unclassified non-coding RNA is filed under the name Drosophila erecta. RNAcentral's name for it is "GG10318". The record is from RNAcentral. Lineage: Eukaryota; Metazoa; Arthropoda; Insecta; Diptera; Drosophilidae.